CUUUCUGAUUUUCUGUUACAAAUAAUGCUGUAACAAGAAAUAUUUCACAAGUCUUCAUGUUCUCAGGUAAAUCAUUGACCUUUAUCCAACUUUUUUUUUUUUUUUGAGACAGAGUCUUGCUAUUUAGUUCAGCUGGCCUUGAACUUGCAGUGGCUCUCCUGCCUCAGCCUCCCUGGUAUUGGUGUUAGUGAGGAACUUCGGGGCUGUGCUUUUUCUCAGGGCUCCUUUCCAUGCUUUGGUUCUCUUGAACAAAGAAUUAGACAGAAAACGAGGUAGCGAUGUAUCUCACAUUUAUUAAAGGAAUUAAAGACAGGCCAAUUAAAGUUGGAAAAGAAAUAAAAAACAAACUCUCUCUGCAAAGCACAGAGCCGACCGGUGAAAAAGGGUCACAGCGUCCAAGUUAACGGCUGCAGUCUUUUAUAGCCCCCAUUAUGACGUCAGAUGUAGCUCGUCCUAUCACAAACCUGCUUGAUCUUGGGCCAGAACUGAAGAUAGGCUUCUCUGAUUGGUGCAGGUACCUCUGCGCAUGUGCCCGAUCUCCGUGAUUGACAGGUCCCGCCCACUUACCUACGUGCUUUGCCAGGGUGCCCUAAUCUCUUGCCUCACUGACCAAGCACCACAGUGCCUGGCGUAGCUCCUUUUAUUCUUGCCUAAUAUUUCGUGAUGAUAAACAUUUUAGUAAGCAGCUAUUUUAGUUCCACCUCUGUAGAGAAGAAGUCAAGUCCCAGCACUCUUGCGUCUUUCAGCAGCACUCCUCACAGAACCUCCUGCCACCACCUUGGGCUCUGUCUUUUGCUGCCACCUGAGCAAGCCUGGGCCCUGCCCGCCGUCCCUCAUCGAUUUUUGUCUCGAGAUGAUGGAUACAUUGAACAAGUCGAGACAGUAUCUAAGCCUGUCCUUACAUACGAGAAGAUAAAUACUGGAACACAGAUGCGGAAGGGUGAUCACGCUCACCUCUCAGGCAAAGAGAAAGUGGGAUAAGUUGUUGCUUGUUUUCAUUCAAGGCCGAUUUGAGGAGUCCAUGACCUCUUACACUAAUGGAAUCAUUACUUGAGAAAAAUAAAGAUGAUUUGGAAAAACUGCCUCUUCCAGAUGAAUGGUUCACGGUGACCUCCGUCCUUAGCCAGUGUGAAAAGAGGAAAACCACUGCCGGAAGUGAC
This 1160-nucleotide long non-coding RNA is filed under the name Fukomys damarensis (Damara mole-rat). RNAcentral describes it as "lncRNA (ENSFDAG00000027475.1)". Lineage: Eukaryota; Metazoa; Chordata; Mammalia; Rodentia; Bathyergidae. The record is from RNAcentral.